AAUAGAUACCCAGGUAGUCCACGCCGUAAACGAUGAGUGCUAAGUGUUAGGGGGUUUCCGCCCCUUAGUGCUGCAGCUAACGCAUUAAGCACUCCGCCUGGGGAGUACGGUCGCAAGACUGAAACUCAAAGGAAUUGACGGGGGCCCGCACAAGCGGUGGAGCAUGUGGUUUAAUUCGAAGCAACGCGAAGAACCUUACCAGGUCUUGACAUCCCAUUGACCGCUAUGGAGACAUAGCUUUCCCUUCGGGGACAGUGGUGACAGGUGGUGCAUGGUUGUCGUCAGCUCGUGUCGUGAGAUGUUGGGUUAAGUCCCGCAACGAGCGCAACCCUUGUUCUUAGUUGCCAUCAUUUAGUUGGGCACUCUAAGGAGACUGCCGGUGACAAACCGGAGGAAGGUGGGGAUGACGUCAAAUCAUCAUGCCCCUUAUGACCUGGGCUACACACGUGCUACAAUGGACGGUACAAACGGUUGCCAACCCGCGAGGGGGAGCUAAUCCGAUAAAACCGUUCUCAGUUCGGAUUGUAGGCUGCAACUCGCCUACA
Molecule: ribosomal RNA, 545 nt
Filed under: uncultured bacterium
Lineage: Bacteria
Description: bacterial SSU rRNA
Rfam family: Bacterial small subunit ribosomal RNA
Source: RNAcentral